GACGAACCGUCCGAACGUUAUUCGGAAUUACUGGGCUUAAAGGGCGCGUAGGCGGCGCGGUAAGUCGGGUGUGAAAUCCCUCGGCUCAACCGAGGAAUGGCGCUCGAAACUACCGUGCUCGAGGAAGGCAGAGGUGAGCGGAACUCAGGGUGGAGCGGUGAAAUGCGUUGAUAUCCUGAGGAACACCGGUGGCGAAAGCGGCUCACUGGGCCUUUUCUGACGCUGAUGCACGAAAGCUAGGGGAGCAAACGGG
RNAcentral lists this ribosomal RNA (253 nucleotides) under uncultured bacterium. RNAcentral's name for it is "partial 16S ribosomal RNA". It matches the Rfam family "Bacterial small subunit ribosomal RNA", at positions 524 to 776 of the family's 1533-position model. The record is from RNAcentral.